AUGUGUAGCCAAGGUUCAGUGGACCACCAACUUGUCGACUUGCAAACUCAUGGGCUUUUCUCGGUACAAUUCCUGAAUCAUCUGCUGUUUCAAUUUCAAAUGCUUGCAAGGCUGAAAUCUUCCUCUGUGAUGGCAUCAAGUGGCUUGUCCCAGGAGAAUCUUUAUCGCCUACGGAUCAGCUUGCCUUGGUUUCGCUCUGAACAUGAAGGACGAUCAGAAGAAAGAUAUGGCAAAAGGGAGUUGAUCUGUGCCGGGGUUCGUCUCCUUAGCUUGCCUUGGUUGCGCUCGGAACAUGGAGGACAAUCAGAAGAAAGAUAG
Molecule: ribosomal RNA, 318 nt
Filed under: Triticum aestivum (bread wheat)
Lineage: Eukaryota; Viridiplantae; Streptophyta; Magnoliopsida; Poales; Poaceae
Description: partial small subunit ribosomal RNA
Source: RNAcentral